CCGCCUCCAGUACUCCCUACCGGUCCACCCCCGAACGCCUCGGCAACAUCUUUCCCCAUGUUCCUUCCGAAAGUGAGCGAGAGGAAUGGUCCCGUACGUUGUUGCCAAGUCAUCGUCAUCACAAUGACUAAAACAGAGAGCCUUGCUGACCUGAAAACAAGACUUGGAGAACCUGACGUCAUGCUUACAGAGGAGGCCCCCGAUGGCGGGAAAACUGUACCUUACGUGGCUUUGUCACUUUCAACAGAGGAGUACAAAAGAACCGAUGUAGUACAGAUCGGCGACGGGGCACCCUGUGGUCAUGAGUGGUGCUGUGGGCGGAGUGAACUCGCCGAUCCAAGUCGCGCAAA
Branchiostoma belcheri (Belcher's lancelet) is the source of this 350-nucleotide long non-coding RNA. RefSeq lists it as uncharacterized. The transcript has 3 exons. NCBI's taxonomy places the organism in Eukaryota, Metazoa, Chordata, Leptocardii, Amphioxiformes, Branchiostomatidae. The record is from RefSeq and is a predicted model, not a curated record.